This 760-nucleotide ribosomal RNA is filed under the name Prevotella melaninogenica. RNAcentral's name for it is "bacterial SSU rRNA". It matches the Rfam family "Bacterial small subunit ribosomal RNA", at positions 28 to 776 of the family's 1533-position model. Lineage: Bacteria; Pseudomonadati; Bacteroidota; Bacteroidia; Bacteroidales; Prevotellaceae. The record is from RNAcentral.
GAUGAACGCUAGCUACAGGCUUAACACAUGCAAGUCGAGGGGAAACGGCAUUGAGUGCUUGCACUCUUUGGACGUCGACCGGCGCACGGGUGAGUAACGCGUAUCCACCUUCCCAUUACUGUGGGAUAACCUGCCGAAAGGCAGACUAAUACCGCAUAGUCUUCGAUGACGGCAUCAGAUUUGAAGUAAAGAUUUAUCGGUAAUGGAUGGGGAUGCGUCUGAUUAACUUGUUGGCGGGGUAACGGCCCACCAAGGCAACGAUCAGUAGGGGUUCUGAGAGGAAGGUCCCCCACAUUGGAACUGAGACACGGUCCAAACUCCUACGGGAGGCAGCAGUGAGGAAUAUUGGUCAAUGGACGGAAGUCUGAACCAGCCAAGUAGCGUGCAGGAUGACGGCCCUAUGGGUUGUAAACUGCUUUUGUAUGGGGAUAAAGUUAGGGACGUGUCCCUAUUUGCAGGUACCAUACGAAUAAGGACCGGCUAAUUCCGUGCCAGCAGCCGCGGUAAUACGGAAGGUCCAGGCGUUAUCCGGAUUUAUUGGGUUUAAAGGGAGCGUAGGCUGGAGAUUAAGUGUGUUGUGAAAUGUAGACGCUCAACGUCUGACUUGCAGCGCAUACUGGUUUCCUUGAGUACGCACAACGUUGGCGGAAUUCGUCGUGUAGCGGUGAAAUGCUUAGAUAUGACGAAGAACUCCGAUUGCGAAUGCAGCUGACGGGAGCGCAACUGACGCUUAAGCUCGAAGGUGCGGGUAUCAAACAGG